CGGGCAGGGGAGAGUGAAGUGGCUGAGCGUGGGGGCGGGGCGGGCGGACGGAAUCUGCUGUCCCCGACUAGAGCCUUGUUUACCUCCACGGCCGCUCGUCUAGGACAAGAUGGCGUCAGUCUGGGAUGAGGCUGAGGACGGUGUUGGCGAGGAGGUGCUGAAGAUGUCCACAGAGGAGAUUGUGCAGCGAACCCGCCUGCUCGACAGCGAGAUCAAGAUAAUGAAGAGUGAGGUGCUGAGAGUUACCCAUGAGCUGCAGGCCAUGAAAGAUAAGAUCAAAGAGAACAGUGAGAAGAUCAAAGUGAACAAAACCCUGCCUUACCUUGUUUCCAAUGUCAUUGAGCUACUGGAUGUUGACCCCAAUGACCAGGAAGAGGAUGGAGCAAAUAUUGAUCUAGAUUCCCAGAGGAAGGGCAAGUGUGCUGUGAUUAAAACCUCCACUCGCCAGACAUAUUUCCUGCCUGUGAUCGGGUUAGUUGAUGCAGAGAAGCUAAAGCCUGGAGACCUAGUGGGUGUGAACAAAGACUCUUACUUGAUCCUGGAGACCCUACCUACUGAAUAUGACUCACGAGUGAAAGCCAUGGAGGUGGAUGAGAGGCCCACAGAGCAGUACAGCGACAUCGGGGGGCUGGAUAAACAGAUCCAAGAGCUAGUGGAGGCCAUUGUCCUGCCAAUGAAUCAUAAGGAGAAGUUUGAAAACCUGGGUAUCCAGCCCCCCAAAGGAGUGCUCAUGUAUGGGCCACCUGGAACAGGGAAGACCCUCUUAGCUAGAGCAUGUGCUGCCCAGACAAAGGCAACAUUCCUGAAGCUGGCUGGCCCACAGUUGGUGCAGAUGUUCAUUGGUGAUGGCGCCAAGCUGGUGCGAGAUGCCUUUGCGCUGGCCAAGGAGAAAGCUCCUUCUAUCAUCUUCAUUGAUGAGCUGGAUGCCAUUGGCACCAAGAGAUUUGACAGCGAGAAGGCUGGAGACCGGGAAGUGCAGAGGACCAUGCUGGAGCUUCUGAACCAACUUGAUGGAUUCCAACCCAACACACAAGUCAAGGUGAUAGCUGCAACCAACCGUGUGGAUAUCCUGGACCCUGCUCUGCUCCGGUCUGGACGCCUAGAUCGCAAAAUUGAGUUCCCGAUGCCCAAUGAAGAGGCCAGAGCUAGGAUUAUGCAGAUCCAUUCACGCAAGAUGAAUGUCAGCCCUGAUGUGAAUUACGAGGAGCUGGCUCGCUGCACAGAUGACUUCAAUGGAGCACAGUGUAAGGCUGUCUGUGUGGAAGCAGGGAUGAUCGCACUUCGGCGUGGAGCCACAGAGCUCACCCAUGAGGACUACAUGGAAGGAAUCCUGGAGGUUCAAGCCAAGAAAAAAGCCAAUCUGCAAUACUAUGCCUAAUCUCUGCACUGCUAUCAGGCAGAGUCCCCAGACUGGUGGCCAGGACCCAGGCAGUGUGAGUGCCACUGAAAAUCAGCUCGCGUGCUGCCUUUGGCACGCGUGCCAUAGGUUGUCUAUCCCAAUCUAGUCUGACCAGCUACAUAACACAGGACAAAGAACCUCAUCUGAUAAUUUCUGCAUCAAGCCCAUACACCAUGGCUCGACCAGAAGGAACAGCCGCCACAGCUGCACAUUAGAGAGGAUUCAGAGAUGAAGCCCAGCGCCACAGUGAGUCAUUCCAUCUUCUGUUGUACAGGGGCUAUGGGGACUUGAACCACAGCUGGAGGACACAAUCAAAACUACUCGAACAUUUGGUUUUUGCUAUUUAUUUUCAUUUUGUGCCUAAGUCAAGGAGAUUCUCCUCCCACCCCCUACUCGUCCAUGUUAAUAAAUAUCUCUUGGGUCAGUAAA
This is an RNA transcript of Trachemys scripta elegans, 1828 nucleotides long. It is a transcript of the gene named proteasome 26S subunit, ATPase 3, with no coding region annotated. NCBI's taxonomy places the organism in Eukaryota, Metazoa, Chordata, Testudines, Emydidae. The record is from RefSeq and is a predicted model, not a curated record. The transcript has 14 exons.